UCUGCCCCAUGCGUAACGGCCUCUGAUUCUCUCAGGGCGCGGGUAGGCGGGUCUGCAAGAUGGAUGGAUGGAUCCUCUUUCAGGUUCUGGGCUGGACCGGUGAGUAGGGACAAAGCAGGGCCUAAAUGGGAUCGGCCCAAGGUGCAGGGAAGACGAGGCCGGCUUGGUGGAGAGAGCCAGAUAAACCCGGUCGUGAGGCUUAAUGGACUGGACCCAGCUGGCGUGAAUGGCUUGAGG
This 237-nucleotide long non-coding RNA is filed under the name Manihot esculenta (cassava). Its description in RNAcentral is "long non-coding RNA (MESC_LNC001929)". The record is from RNAcentral. Lineage: Eukaryota; Viridiplantae; Streptophyta; Magnoliopsida; Malpighiales; Euphorbiaceae.